Molecule: transfer RNA, 73 nt
Filed under: Otolemur garnettii (small-eared galago)
Lineage: Eukaryota; Metazoa; Chordata; Mammalia; Primates; Galagidae
Rfam family: tRNA
About the family: Transfer RNA (tRNA) molecules are approximately 80 nucleotides in length. Their secondary structure includes four short double-helical elements and three loops (D, anti-codon, and T loops).
Source: Rfam by way of RNAcentral
GGGCCUGUAGCUCAGCGGCUUGAGUACCAGCCAUGUAUACUGGAGUUGGUGGGUUCAAAUCCAGCCUGGGCCA